Molecule: ribosomal RNA, 545 nt
Filed under: uncultured bacterium
Lineage: Bacteria
Description: bacterial SSU rRNA
Rfam family: Bacterial small subunit ribosomal RNA
Source: RNAcentral
UGGGGAAUAUUGGACAAUGGGCGAAAGCGAUCCACAUGCCGCGUGUGUGAAGAAGGCCUUUUGGUUGUAAAGCACUUUAAGUGGGGAGGAAAAGCUUAUGGUUAAUACCCAUAAGCCCUGACGUUACCCACAGAAUAAGCACCGGCUAACUCUGUGCCAGCAGCCGCGGUAAUACAGAGGGUGCAAGCGUUAAUCGGAAUUACUGGGCGUAAAGCGCGCGUAGGUGGUUAUUUAAGUCAGAUGUGAAAGCCCCGGGCUUAACCUGGGAACUGCAUCUGAUACUGGAUAACUAGAGUAGGUGAGAGGGGAGUAGAAUUCCAGGUGUAGCGGUGAAAUGCGUAGAGAUCUGGAGGAAUACCGAUGGCGAAGGCAGCUCCCUGGCAUCAUACUGACACUGAGGUGCGAAAGCGUGGGUAGCAAACAGGAUUAGAUACCCUGGUAGUCCACGCCGUAAACGAUGUCUACCAGUCGUUGGGUCUUUUAAAGACUUAGUGACGCAGUUAACGCAAUAAGUAGACCGCCUGGGGAGUACGGCCGCAAGGUUA